CGGUAUUAUCACUAUAGUUGUUCUUCCCUAAAGACAGAGCUUUACGACCCAAGGCCUUCUUCACUCACGCGGCGUUGCUCCGUCAGGCUUUCGCCCAUUGCGGAAGAUUCCCCCA
RNAcentral lists this ribosomal RNA (115 nucleotides) under uncultured bacterium. RNAcentral's name for it is "partial 16S ribosomal RNA". The record is from RNAcentral.